This 253-nucleotide ribosomal RNA is filed under the name uncultured bacterium. RNAcentral describes it as "partial 16S ribosomal RNA". It matches the Rfam family "Bacterial small subunit ribosomal RNA", at positions 524 to 776 of the family's 1533-position model. The record is from RNAcentral.
UACGGGGGGGGUAAGCGUUGUUCGGAAUUACUGGGCGUAAAGGGCUCGUAGGCGGCCAACUAAGUCAGACGUGAAAUCCCUCAGCUUAACUGGGGAACUGCGUCUGAUACUGGAUGGCUUGGAUUCGGGAGAGGAAUGCGGAAUUCCAGGUGUAGCGGUGAAAUGCGUAGAUAUCAGGAAGAACACCCGUGGCGAAAGCGGCUCUCUGGGACGGUACUGACGCUGAGACGCGAAAGCGUGGGGAGCGAACAGG